GUCAAGAUGGUAGAAGUUUAAAUAUAUAUGGUUUAGGUCCAUAUGAUAAGGUAGUCCUUUCUUGAC
This 66-nucleotide transfer RNA is filed under the name Latona dysoni. RNAcentral's name for it is "tRNA-Leu". The record is from RNAcentral. Lineage: Eukaryota; Metazoa; Arthropoda; Branchiopoda; Diplostraca; Sididae.